CUGCUCCCUGUUGCCCCUACCCUGAGCCCCAGGGACCCCAUGACCUGGAUGAUGCACCUCCUUGCCAGCGUGCCAUUCUCCUGUGAGUGUGGGGGUGUCGCACUGUGGUUUUAAUUUGCACUCUCCUGAUGACUAGUGAUGUCGAGCAUCCACAUUGACAAUGAAGCUCAUUUCCAGCCUCCUGAGCCGUUCCGGAACCUCCAGGCAUCAAAAGCCCAAGCGUCCAGCUAGGGUCCUGGGGCGCAGUGGCAGUGGUGCCCCUCCCUGUUGACCAGCGUCUUGCUGCCUAAGGCAAGCGGCGUUACAGGUGCGCCCACACAGCUCCCUGACGUCCCUUCUCCUGGCUCCCCACGCUCCCCACUGCCACAGUCAGGGUGCCCCCCAGGACACCGGAUAUUGGGAAGGAUCUGGACGGAGCCAACAGAGGAAUGCUCACCACCCAGAGCCCCUGGACUCGAAGCUACUGUGGUCUGGGUGGCCCCUGGCUGGGGGGCUUCUCAGCUGUCAGAGGAG
RNAcentral lists this long non-coding RNA (513 nucleotides) under Equus caballus (horse). Its description in RNAcentral is "lncRNA (ENSECAG00000049006.1)". Lineage: Eukaryota; Metazoa; Chordata; Mammalia; Perissodactyla; Equidae. The record is from RNAcentral.